UCUGUAGCAAGGUUAACCGAAUAGGGGAGCCGAAGGGAAACCGAGUCUUAACCGGGCGUUAAGUUGCAGGGUAUAGACCCGAAACCCGGUGAUCUAGCCAUGGGCAGGUUGAAGGUUGGGUAACACUAACUGGAGGACCGAACCGACUAAUGUUGAAAAAUUAGCGGAUGACUUGUGGCUGGGGGUGAAAGGCCAAUCAAACCGGGAGAUAGCUGGUUCUCCCCGAAAGCUAUUUAGGUAGCGCCUCGUGAAUUCAUCUCCGGGGGUAGAGCACUGUUUCGGCAAGGGGGUCAUCCCGACUUACCAACCCGAUGCAAACUGCGAAUACCGGAGAAUGUUAUCACGGGAGACACACGGCGGGUGCUAACGUCCGUCGUGAAGAGGGAAACAACCCAGACCGCCAGCUAAGGUCCCAAAGUCAUGGUUAAGUGGGAAACGAUGUGGGAAGGCCCAGACAGCCAGGAUGUUGGCUUAGAAGCAGCCAUCAUUUAAAGAAAGCGUAAUAGCUCACUGGUCGAGUCGGCCUGCGCGGAAGAUGUAACGGGGCUAAACCAUGCACCGAAGCUGCGGCAGCGACACUGUGUGUUGUUGGGUAGGGGAGCGUUCUGUAAGCCUGUGAAGGUGUGCUGUGAGGCAUGCUGGAGGUAUCAGAAGUGCGAAUGCUGACAUAAGUAACGAUAAAGCGGGUGAAAAGCCCGCUCGCCGGAAGACCAAGGGUUCCUGUCCAACGUUAAUCGGGGCAGGGUGAGUCGACCCCUAAGGCGAGGCCGAAAGGCGUAGUCGAUGGGAAACAGGUUAAUAUUCCUGUACUUGGUGUUACUGCGAAGGGGGGACGGAGAAGGCUAUGUUGGCCGGGCGACGGUUGUCCCGGUUUAAGCGUGUAGGCUGGUUUUCCAGGCAAAUCCGGAAAAUCAAGGCUGAGGCGUGAUGACGAGGCACUACGGUGCUGAAGCAACAAAUGCCCUGCUUCCAGGAAAAGCCUCUAAGCAUCAGGUAACAUCAAAUCGUACCCCAAACCGACACAGGUGGUCAGGUAGAGAAUACCAAGGCGCUUGAGAGAACUCGGGUGAAGGAACUAGGCAAAAUGGUGCCGUAACUUCGGGAGAAGGCACGCUGAUAUGUAGGUGAAGUCCCUCGCGGAUGGAGCUGAAAUCAGUCGAAGAUACCAGCUGGCUGCAACUGUUUAUUAAAAACACAGCACUGUGCAAACACGAAAGUGGACGUAUACGGUGUGACGCCUGCCCGGUGCCGGAAGGUUAAUUGAUGGGGUCAGCGCAAGCGAAGCUCUUGAUCGAAGCCCCGGUAAACGGCGGCCGUAACUAUAACGGUCCUAAGGUAGCGAAAUUCCUUGUCGGGUAAGUUCCGACCUGCACGAAUGGCGUAAUGAUGGCCAGGCUGUCUCCACCCGAGACUCAGUGAAAUUGAACUCGCUGUGAAGAUGCAGUGUACCCGCGGCAAGACGGAAAGACCCCGUGAACCUUUACUAUAGCUUGACACUGAACAUUGAGCCUUGAUGUGUAGGAUAGGUGGGAGGCUUUGAAGUGUGGACGCCAGUCUGCAUGGAGCCGACCUUGAAAUACCACCCUUUAAUGUUUGAUGUUCUAACGUGGACCCGUGAUCCGGGUUGCGGACAGUGUCUGGUGGGUAGUUUGACUGGGGCGGUCUCCUCCUAAAGAGUAACGGAGGAGCACGAAGGUUGGCUAAUCCUGGUCGGACAUCAGGAGGUUAGUGCAAUGGCAUAAGCCAGCUUGACUGCGAGCGUGACGGCGCGAGCAGGUGCGAAAGCAGGUCAUAGUGAUCCGGUGGUUCUGAAUGGAAGGGCCAUCGCUCAACGGAUAAAAGGUACUCCGGGGAUAACAGGCUGAUACCGCCCAAGAGUUCAUAUCGACGGCGGUGUUUGGCACCUCGAUGUCGGCUCAUCACAUCCUGGGGCUGAAGUAGGUCCCAAGGGUAUGGCUGUUCGCCAUUUAAAGUGGUACGCGAGCUGGGUUUAGAACGUCGUGAGACAGUUCGGUCCCUAUCUGCCGUGGGCGCUGGAGAACUGAGGGGGGCUGCUCCUAGUACGAGAGGACCGGAGUGGACGCAUCACUGGUGUUCGGGUUGUCAUGCCAAUGGCACUGCCCGGUAGCUAAAUGCGGAAGAGAUAAGUGCUGAAAGCAUCUAAGCACGAAACUUGCCCCGAGAUGAGUUCUCCCUGACCCUUUAAGGGUCCUGAAGGAACGUUGAAGACGACGACGUUGAUAGGCCGGGUGUGUAAGCGCAGCGAUGCGUUGAGCUAACCGGUACUAAUGAACCGUGAGGCUUAACCUUACAACGCCGAAGGUGUUU
Molecule: ribosomal RNA, 2328 nt
Filed under: Escherichia coli
Lineage: Bacteria; Pseudomonadati; Pseudomonadota; Gammaproteobacteria; Enterobacterales; Enterobacteriaceae
Description: partial 23S ribosomal RNA
Rfam family: Bacterial large subunit ribosomal RNA
Source: RNAcentral